CCUACGGGAGGCAGCAGUGGGGAAUCUUAGACAAUGGGCGCAAGCCUGAUCUAGCCAUGCCGCGUGAGUGAUGAAGGCCCUAGGGUCGUAAAGCUCUUUCGCCAGGGAUGAUAAUGACAGUACCUGGUAAAGAAACCCCGGCUAACUCCGUGCCAGCAGCCGCGGUAAUACGGAGGGGGUUAGCGUUGUUCGGAAUUACUGGGCGUAAAGCGCGCGUAGGCGGACCAGAAAGUUGGGGGUGAAAUCCCGGGGCUCAACCCCGGAACGGCCUCCAAAACUCCUGGUCUUGAGUUCGAGAGAGGUGAGUGGAAUUCCGAGUGUAGAGGUGAAAUUCGUAGAUAUUCGGAGGAACACCAGUGGCGAAGGCGGCUCACUGGCUCGAUACUGACGCUGAGGUGCGAAAGUGUGGGGAGCAAACAGGAUUAGAUACCCUGGUAGUCCACACCGUAAACGAUGAAUGCCAGUCGUCGGGUAGCAUGCUGCUCGGUGACACACCUAACGGAUUAAGCAUUCCGCCUGGGGAGUACGGUCGCAAGAUUAAAACUCAAAUGAAUUGACGG
RNAcentral lists this ribosomal RNA (560 nucleotides) under uncultured Alphaproteobacteria bacterium. Its description in RNAcentral is "bacterial SSU rRNA". It matches the Rfam family "Bacterial small subunit ribosomal RNA", at positions 338 to 916 of the family's 1533-position model. Lineage: Bacteria; Pseudomonadati; Pseudomonadota; Alphaproteobacteria. The record is from RNAcentral.